RNAcentral lists this ribosomal RNA (102 nucleotides) under Trichosporon sp. 2S3C. Its description in RNAcentral is "28S ribosomal RNA". The stretch from base 46 to 102 matches the Rfam family "Eukaryotic large subunit ribosomal RNA", at positions 1 to 57 of the family's 3401-position model. The record is from RNAcentral. Lineage: Eukaryota; Fungi; Basidiomycota; Tremellomycetes; Trichosporonales; Trichosporonaceae.
UUGUGAAGUUUGCUUCUAAUCGUCUUCGGACAAUUACUUUGACUCUGGCCUCAAAUCAGGUAGGACUACCCGCUGAACUUAAGCAUAUCAAUAAGCGGAGGA